GGUGCGCUACAUUCGCAGUCAAAUUACAUGGCUGGCCUCAAAGGCACUAGCUUCGGAUUUCCAAACUAAUACUCAUCUCUUAAAAGCCGAGCCAAGAAGAAAAUGCGAGGAAGGCCUCAGAUGCGGGAGACCUCGGGCUUGAAGGUCCAUCUAUGUUUUCCACAGCAAGUUAUGAAACUGGCACCAUCCUUAUCCUCUUUCCAUCUGGAAAGGGUGGUUUCGUCCAAGAUCUUCAAAGGGGAGUGAGCCACUCGAGUACCUUUAGGGAUCCAGUCCAACCGACUCAUGAAGAGUGCAACAGAGGAAGAGGCGGCACUUGCUAGAUACGGGUGAUGGAGAACUUCCCAUGGGAUGGUCCCAGGGUUGAUGUUAGUGGUGACAAAAAUGCAAUUGGAUGAGUCACAACUUGUAAGGAAGAUCCAGAUCCUCAGAGGUACCUAACUCUAUCGGGCCCAGAUCCUCGGAGCAGUACAGGUAUAUAAAGCCCAUUGAUUGCAGAGGGGUUAAGCAGUUUAACACCCUUCUCUAUGGAUUUGAGAACUGAGCAGAGAUCUCAGACUCCAACCUCUAUAAAACAAAAUGGGUGACUUUAGGAUAGCCCAGAAGAGAAGAACAAGGAAUGGUAUGGGGUCAUCAAGUACAACUAACCAAGCAGAGCACCAGUUUUCUAAGGUGCUGCUGUAUGGCUCACUGAAGUCAAUGAAAAGAUCCUUCACGAUUUCGGUAGAUCAGCCCUGGUGCUUUACUCUUCAGCUGAGCGGGUUGGAACACUGCCUGUCUCCUGCCUCUUCCCAGAGAAGGAGGCGAGUGCCUGCAGGUGACCUCCAAGGGAGGUCUCAAAGGCGAUGCACCCGCUCAGGAGCAGCUAACGCUGAUUUGACAGAUCACUUCAAUGGGCUAAUAGCCAAGAAGGUUAAAAUAUUAGUGGAACUUGCACAGACCACACCAGAUGGAAAAGAUCUGAGCUGGGCAAAAACUCUUUGUUGAAACCUGUACUUUUGAGCGAAAUCUUUUCAGAAGGGUGGAACAUCAGGCAAAGGAGCAUCUUACCCUUUGGACACAUUUUUGUGAUACUUCAAAGGAAAAGUUGUGAAUUCUUGCUUGCGGUUUCAUUGAUGUAUAUUCCUUCCAGAACUCUGAAAAACUUCCCUCUCCAACCAGGUUUGGUCCUGUGGGUCAGUGGAUCCUCCUGGCAAGCCGGUGAAAUGUCCUCUGGGCUAAAAAGGGAAAUGCCUUCAGGUCGGCACUUGCACGGAGGCGUCUGCCUCUGCCCUCCCUCCAGGCUAUGGGCUGAAUAUGGCCAAGGUCUUUAGGGACCUAGCACGGGUUGUCACUUUUAGAUGGGCAGGAGGAAGGGGAAGGCAGCAGUGAUGAAGUAAUAGCUGUUAUGGCAGAAUGAGGACUGCUCCAGUGACAUGGUAACACCACGCAGCAGUCCUGGCAUGUGAGCCUUGGUAAACUUAGGGGUUUUAUAGCUUUAUGGAUGCUGACAGUCAAUCUUAGGAAUCCCUUAACAUUAUCAAGCCUACUGCAUUACUUGAUGGAAUGAUUAUUUUUGUAUUAACCUUAUGAAUAUUAACACUCAUAAACUUCUUCCUAAGUAAUUGUUAAUAUACGAUAUUAUGAAAAUAAUAAAAAUGUUGAAGGAGCUUUCAAGCCAGCAUGUGGGCUCUGCUACUCACUUAUUCUGUACUCUUGGAUGAAUCUUUUACUUUCAAGUACCUCUUACUUCCCUCUGAUGAGCUAUCGCUUGUAGAGCCCUGCAAAAAAGUUAAGAAGAUGAUCCAUGAGGGCAGGUUUCUUUGGGAUUUCAGUGCAAGAGUCCUGUAGGCAUUUGACUGGAGUGCGAUGAAGAAAAUGUUCCUAUGCAUCAAGAGGAAUAACACAUGGGCAUGCAGCAAUUCACAGUCCAACAGGAAGAGGGCAGUUAGGUUCGGUAGGUAACGGGAGCGUAUUUUCAGAUCCGCUGACGCCAAUAGCCUAUUGCCAACGGGGCUUUGGGGAGAAUCCACUCUUCUGGGCAUGGCAUUAAUGCAAAAAGACCUGUGUCAUGCUCAAGGUGAAACCGGAUGAGUUCUGUUUCCCAGACACAUCCCUGACAUGGGCUAAGGUCCCAAACUGAAUCCCUUUGUAAUACUCAGGGGACAAAAGGGAUCCCAGAGGCUGCUAGCACACUGAGCCAUUGGAGUAAAGGCCUUUUAAGUAAAAUCCAGGCUCCUUUUUGUGCUUAAAAAUGGUGGGACUGAAAAUACCAGAGUUCCAACUCAUAGAAGUCAUUUAAAUGUGCCGUUGAAACCCCUGAGCCUUGCUGGAUGUACUCUUAAUGUCACAAAAAUCUUGCUGGCAGGUAAUUGUGGGUGCAGAGCUGUCCCUGCCGAAAGCAAAUCUGGAUUAAAAACCAGUUCUUGUUUCAAACGCUUCGGAGCAUGGCUCAGUCGAGUCUUUCCACAACCCUCAGGAAGCAGAAAAGCAAAACCAUUUCUGUCCCUCUUUUACGGAAGGGACUCCGUGGGGAGACAGUCAGUGUUUUCCUUGGAGCGGAAGGCUGAAUCCCAGGGGCACGUGGGCACGCGUGGAGCGGCUCUGCACCUCCAGCCACCCAGGCAGGGGUCUGCCCCUGCUCUGCGCGCACCGGGGUUCACUGGGCUACAGCAAAGAUGUACGAGGGGCAGAGGCAUGUGUUUGGGGUGCCUGGAUUUAAUACAAGGGUAUGGCCAGAGCACAGUUUGGACGCGGCCAGGAGAGCUGCUGUGCGAGGCUGGGAUUCAAGAGCAUCUCUCAGUGGGGCGAUCGAGCACUGGCCCCUGCAUUGGAUGGAAACGAAGCUUGCAAACUCUUGGGCUCUUACGUUAGACUUAUACCCAACCCAACCAGGCUUUCCUGGCUGAGCAGGGUGUCUGUGCUGAUGUGUUUCAUCUAUUAAGUACCAAACGAUGCUGAUAUGCAAAAAGGUUCAGCUUACAUCAAUGCCGUGUUGUCUAGUUAAACAACAAUGAACUGAGCUGGAAAUGUAGGAAGUUUUCCGAGUGGAGUGGAAACUGAAAUCUUUUUUACACAUGGAAAAAACCCGUCUUUUGUGGGCAAGACCAAGGUCCAACAAAAUGGGAGGUACACUGUCCUUAGCCAGGUUCAGCAGCGAUUAAUGAAAACUGAUUUAAAAGGCUCAGAAAUACAAAGUGAUUCCAUCCCUUUCCUUUUUACCCAGAUACUAUCCACCUUCUCUAGUGUGUUUA
Molecule: long non-coding RNA, 3233 nt
Organism: Aquila chrysaetos chrysaetos
Lineage: Eukaryota; Metazoa; Chordata; Aves; Accipitriformes; Accipitridae
Exons: 4
Source: RefSeq, a predicted model, not a curated record